UCACUGAGUGCUUGCUACAGCCACUGGAGGCCUGCAGCUCAACUAUUUCAUGAUCACACACACGUGGGCUGCCACUAUUACGUCCAAAAGAAUACUUGAUCUUUUAAAUUUUUUUCAUGGGGCUUGGGGGUAAUGAGGAGUGACAGAAAGUGUAAGCGGAACUUUUAGAUCAACAUUACAAAAGGUUUAUUUUAUCUGAAGAUUGCAUUUUAAAAGUUUGUCAGGUUAAAAUAUUUCACAUUGAAGAGAAAUACCAAUGUGCUUUUUUCUGGACUCCAAAAAGUUUCGACAUUGCUUGAUUUCAUAAGGGCUGACGGGUAACAACAUCCUGCCUUGGGACCCUGAGUUAGAGAGAGAUUCCACCCUGCCUGUCCUGAUCCACAUCACCUCUAGCACCAACUCUUCCCAGUGGGGCCGUUCUCAGAACUUCCUGUAUUGCAGUAUGGUAACAUUAUCUGAGGAUUAUUAAAACAUUCCACUGGCUUUUGAUGGCAUCAGAAGAAUUCCUGAAACACGAGUGGAGAUCAGGCUUAAAUCUAAAAUGUUCAUCAUGUGAUUGGACUUCGAUAUGGGCACAGCGGCAAAGACCUGCGACUGGAAGCAGUAGAAUAUUUUCAAAUGUCUGCUCGCCUGUUCAAGUUUGGUGCCUCUUAUCACAACCAGGACAGUGCUGUGAUUUUGAGCCCUUGGUUAUGAGCUGUUAGUUGCAAUCUGGAUGUGUUAUAAUAGGAAAAAUAAUGAUCUCAGAUGGAACAUGUUUCUCUUUGUUUAGUUAAAUUCAGUUUGUUUUUUAUACCAAAUCUUUCAAAUCAUGGAAUCACAUUGGUAGAAAGAUUGGGAAUCACCAGUAUAGCCUACCUGCAGAACAGCUCUUAGGUCCAUCCUCUUCACCCCACUCCAACUGCAAUUGCCCUAGUUUCCUCCCUUUCCUUUCCCUUAAGCUGUUAUAAAAGACGUCUAACUAGCCUUCCAUCCUUGUGCCUGACUUGAUCAUACAUAUUGCUAUUCAAUUAAUCAUGAUCAAAAAUUUUCCACACGGGGCUGGCCCCGUGGCCGAGUGGUUAAGUUCGCGCGCUCCGCUGCAGGCGGCCCAGCGUUUCGUUGGUUCGAAUCCUGGCGCGGACAUGGCACUGCUUAUCAAACCACGCUGAGGCAGCGUCCCACAUGCCGCAACGAAAAGGACCCACAAAUAAGAAU
This 1197-nucleotide long non-coding RNA is filed under the name Equus caballus (horse). RNAcentral's name for it is "lncRNA (ENSECAG00000046519.1)". Lineage: Eukaryota; Metazoa; Chordata; Mammalia; Perissodactyla; Equidae. The record is from RNAcentral.